Molecule: long non-coding RNA, 371 nt
Organism: Mesocricetus auratus (golden hamster)
Lineage: Eukaryota; Metazoa; Chordata; Mammalia; Rodentia; Cricetidae
Exons: 3
Source: RefSeq, a predicted model, not a curated record
GAGGAGUUUCUGCCCUGUGAAUGGGGCAGCAAAUGGCUUCAGGAGAAAGGACAUGGAGCUUUGAGACCUGGCCCAUCUCUUUAGCACCUGAGUCGGGAUAUCGGACCUUGUCUGCCUGAAUGCUUCCUGCCAUGAUGACAAUGGACUAACCUCUGAACUCUUAUUUAUAAUAAGACGAAGAAGAGCAAACAGUAGUAUCUUUAAAGAAUGAAAGAGAUGAUGUCUAUGACACCUCUGAAGAACAAGAGUGUGUGCUUUCAGACCACAAUCUUAUGGCCCAUCAACAUGGCUUCUAAAUUGGAAGUGAAAGUUUACAGAACUCUUGUAUGAUUGAUUGAUGCCUACCUAAUAAAUGGGUUUGUUUGACUUGA